This 411-nucleotide unclassified non-coding RNA is filed under the name uncultured cyanobacterium. RNAcentral describes it as "partial contains 16S ribosomal RNA, 16S-23S ribosomal RNA intergenic spacer, and 23S ribosomal RNA". The stretch from base 1 to 121 matches the Rfam family "Bacterial small subunit ribosomal RNA", at positions 1415 to 1533 of the family's 1533-position model. Lineage: Bacteria; Bacillati; Cyanobacteriota. The record is from RNAcentral.
UCACGCCCGAAGUCGUUACUCUAACCGUUCGCGGAGGAGGGCGCCGAAGGCAGGGCUGAUGACUGGGGUGAAGUCGUAACAAGGUAGCCGUACCGGAAGGUGUGGCUGGAUCACCUCCUUUAAAGGGAGACCUUGCUUUCAAACUAUUGAAAUCGGUUGGGAGGGAAAAGUUGAAAGGAAUCAGUCAAUAACUGAAAACUGGAAACUGAAAACUGUUUUGGGCUAUUAGCUCAGGUGGUUAGAGCGCACCCCUGAUAAGGGUGAGGACCCUGGUUCAAGUCCAGGAUGGCCCACCAGAAAGCACCUUGAAAACUGCAUAGAAAGACAAGAAACCAAGUCAGGUAGAGAGCCUUUGAGAAAGAGCAGGUCAAGCUAGAAAGAGCUAACGGCGGAUACCUAGGCACACAGAGG